Molecule: small RNA, 91 nt
Filed under: Psychroflexus sediminis
Lineage: Bacteria; Pseudomonadati; Bacteroidota; Flavobacteriia; Flavobacteriales; Flavobacteriaceae
Description: Flavo-1 RNA
Rfam family: Flavo-1 RNA
Source: Rfam by way of RNAcentral
CCCUAGCCCUGAUUGCAGCGAAAAGCCCGCACCCCCAAUCCCCAAAGCCUUGGGGGAGGGGGAGGACUUGAAGCGGAAAGCAGGUUCCCGG